GUGAUUGCUUGGGCAAUACAUACCCUAAAAUUAAAAUAAUAGAGAGAUGAUUAGCCUGGUCUCUUAGCAAGGAUGGCAUACAAAUUUGUGGAGUAUUCCAUAUUUUU
This 107-nucleotide small nuclear RNA is filed under the name Carlito syrichta (Philippine tarsier). Lineage: Eukaryota; Metazoa; Chordata; Mammalia; Primates; Tarsiidae. The record is from RNAcentral.